Molecule: transfer RNA, 78 nt
Filed under: Acinetobacter rudis
Lineage: Bacteria; Pseudomonadati; Pseudomonadota; Gammaproteobacteria; Moraxellales; Moraxellaceae
Description: tRNA-Arg
Rfam family: tRNA
About the family: Transfer RNA (tRNA) molecules are approximately 80 nucleotides in length. Their secondary structure includes four short double-helical elements and three loops (D, anti-codon, and T loops).
Source: RNAcentral
UGUGCUUAUAGCUCAGCUGGAUAGAGCAUCCGCCUUCUAAGCGGAUGGUCACAGGUUCGAAUCCUGUUAGGUCAGCCA